GAUUUCUGACGAACCGGAGUGGCCCGUUUCCUUUCUGGGAAUGAGUGCCGCUUUGAGUUUGUCAUCCUUCCAGAGAGCUGCGUCUACCGUUUACUCGGCCGGACGUAUGCGAUCUGGAUCUAUUACUUUGAAAAAAUUAGAGUGUUUAAAGCAGGCUUGCGCUAUGAAUACAUUAGCAUGGAAUAAUAAUUUAGGACUUUGGUCUUAUUUUGUUGGUUUCUAGGACUAAAGUAAUGAUUGAUAGGGACAGUUGGGGGUGCUAGUAUUCAGCGGCCAGAGGUGAAAUUCUUGGAUUCGCUGAAGACUAACUUAUGCGAAAGCAUU
Molecule: ribosomal RNA, 324 nt
Filed under: Euglypha sp. (in: cercozoans)
Lineage: Eukaryota; Cercozoa; Imbricatea; Euglyphida; Euglyphidae
Description: SSU rRNA
Rfam family: Eukaryotic small subunit ribosomal RNA (bases 109-324)
Source: RNAcentral